GAUGAACGCUGGCGGCGUGCCUAAUACAUGCAAGUCGAGCGAACGGACGAGAAGCUUGCUUUUCUGAUGUUAGCGGCGGACGGGUGAGUAACAAGUGGAUAACCUACCUAUAAGACUGGGAUAACUUCGGGAAAACGGAGCUACUACCGGAUAAUAUUUUGAACCGCAUGGUUCAAAAGUGAAAGACGGUCUUGCUGUCACUUAUAGAUGGAUCCGCGCUGCAUUAGCUAGUUGGUAAGGUAACGGCUUACCAAGGCAACGAUGCAUAGCCGACCUGAGAGGGUGAUCGGACACACUGGAACUGAGACACGGUCCAGACUCCUACGGGAGGCAGCAGUAGGGAAUCUUCCGCAAUGGGCGAAAGCCUGACGGAGCAACGCCGCGUGAGUGAUGAAGGUCUUCGGAUCGUAAAGCUCUGUUAUUAGGAAAGAACAGAUGUGUAAGUAACUGUGCACAUCUUGACGGUACCUAAUCAGAAAGCCACGGCUAACUACGUG
This 497-nucleotide ribosomal RNA is filed under the name uncultured bacterium. Its description in RNAcentral is "partial 16S ribosomal RNA". It matches the Rfam family "Bacterial small subunit ribosomal RNA", at positions 28 to 507 of the family's 1533-position model. The record is from RNAcentral.